GAUGAACGCUGGCGGCGUGCCUAAUACAUGCCAGUCGAGCGAACGGACGAGAAGCUUGCUUCUCUGAUGUUAGCGGCGGACGGGUGAGUAACACGUGGAUAACCUACCUAUAAGACUGGGAUAACUUCGGGAAACCGGAGCUAAUACCGGAUGAUAUUUUGAACCGCAUGGUUCAAAAGUGAAAGACGGUCUUGCUGUCACUUAUAGAUGGAUCCGCGCUGCAUUAGCUAGUUGGUAAGGUAACGGCUUACCAAGGCAACGAUGCAUAGCCGACCUGAGAGGGUGAUCGGCCACACUGGAACUGAGACACGGUCCAGACUCCUACGGGAGGCAGCAGUAGGGAAUCUUCCGCAAUGGGCGAAAGCCUGACGGAGCAACGCCGCGUGAGUGAUGAAGGUCUUCGGAUCGUAAAACUCUGUUAUUAGGGAAGAACAUAUGUGUAAGUAACUGUGCACAUCUUGACAGUACCUAAUCAGAAAGCCACGGCUAACUACGUG
Molecule: ribosomal RNA, 497 nt
Filed under: uncultured bacterium
Lineage: Bacteria
Description: partial 16S ribosomal RNA
Rfam family: Bacterial small subunit ribosomal RNA
Source: RNAcentral